UGGGGAAUUUUGGACAAUGGGCGCAAGCCUGAUCCAGCAAUGCCGCGUGCAGGAUGAAGGCCUUCGGGUUGUAAACUGCUUUUGUACGGAGCGAAAAGGUCUGCCCUAAUACGGUGGGCUCAUGACGGUACCGUAAGAAUAAGCACCGGCUAACUACGUGCCAGCAGCCGCGGUAAUACGUAGGGUGCGAGCGUUAAUCGGAAUUACUGGGCGUAAAGCGUGCGCAGGCGGUUAUAUAAGACAGAGGUGAAAUCCCCGGGCUCAACCUGGGAACUGCCUUUGUGACUGCAUAGCUAGAGUACGGUAGAGGGGGAUGGAAGUCCGCGUGUAGCAGUGAAAUGCGUAGAUAUGCGGAGGAGCACCGAUGGCGAAGGCAAUCCCCUGGACCUGUACUGACGCUCAUGCACGAAAGCGUGGGGAGCAAACA
Molecule: ribosomal RNA, 427 nt
Filed under: uncultured bacterium
Lineage: Bacteria
Description: bacterial SSU rRNA
Rfam family: Bacterial small subunit ribosomal RNA
Source: RNAcentral